RNAcentral lists this ribosomal RNA (496 nucleotides) under uncultured delta proteobacterium. RNAcentral describes it as "bacterial SSU rRNA". It matches the Rfam family "Bacterial small subunit ribosomal RNA", at positions 55 to 527 of the family's 1533-position model. The record is from RNAcentral. Lineage: Bacteria; Deltaproteobacteria.
GUGCAAGUCGCACGAGAAAGCCCGGUUCGCCGGGCGAGUAAAGUGGCGCACGGGUGAGUAACGCGUGGAUAAUCUACCUCGUUCUGGGGGAUAACCCAUCGAAAGGUGGGCUAAUACCGCAUAAUCCGGCUUUUUUAUGAAUUGGUCGGCAAAGGUGGCCUCUUGAUCAAAGCUACCGGGGAGAGAUGAGUCCGCGUCCCAUUAGCUAGUUGGUAGGGUAAUGGCCUACCAAGGCGACGAUGGGUAGCUGGUCUGAGAGGACGAUCAGCCACACUGGAACUGGUACACGGUCCAGACUCCUACGGGAGGCAGCAGUGAGGAAUAUUGCGCAAUGGGGGAAACCCUGACGCAGCGAUGCCGCGUGAGUGAAGAAGGCCUUCGGGUCGUAAAGCUCUGUCAAGUGGGAAGAACAGCCUAUGGACGAAUAAUCCAUGGGUCUGACGGUACCACUGAAGGAAGCACCGGCUAACUCCGUGCCAGCCGCCGCGGUAAUACA